RNAcentral lists this ribosomal RNA (301 nucleotides) under uncultured bacterium. Its description in RNAcentral is "partial 16S ribosomal RNA". It matches the Rfam family "Bacterial small subunit ribosomal RNA", at positions 509 to 807 of the family's 1533-position model. The record is from RNAcentral.
CAGCAGCCGCGGGAAUACGUAGGUGGCAAGCGUUGUCCGGAAUUAUUGGGCGUAAAGGGCACGCAGGCGGUUUCUUAAGUCUGAUGUGAAAGCCCCCGGCUCAACCGGGGAGGGUCAUUGGAAACUGGGAAACUUGAGUGCAGAAGAGGAGAGUGGAAUUCCACGUGUAGCGGUGAAAUGCGUAGAGAUGUGGAGGAACACCAGUGGCGAAGGCGACUCUCUGGUCUGUAACUGACGCUGAGGAGCGAAAGCGUGGGGAGCGAACAGGAUUAGAUACCCGAGUAGUCCCUGUCUCUUAUAC